UACGGAGGGUGCAAGCGUUAAUCGGAAUUACUGGGCGUAAAGGGUGCGCAGGCGGCUUCGCAAGUCAGACGUGAAAUCCCCGGGCUUAACUUGGGAAUGGCGUUUGAAACUACGCAGCUGGAGUGUGGUAGAGGGAGGUGGAAUUCCACGUGUAGCGGUGAAAUGCGUAGAUAUGUGGAGGAACACCGAUGGCGAAGGCAGCCUCCUGGGCCAACACUGACGCUCAUGCACGAAAGCGUGGGGAGCAAACAGG
This 253-nucleotide ribosomal RNA is filed under the name uncultured bacterium. RNAcentral describes it as "partial 16S ribosomal RNA". It matches the Rfam family "Bacterial small subunit ribosomal RNA", at positions 524 to 776 of the family's 1533-position model. The record is from RNAcentral.